UUAAAAUCAAUCUAGGCUUGGCUUCAGUGGAACCAAUAAUGGAUACUUUUAGUGUUACCUUUUUGGAGUUAGUCAGUAAGAGGACUGAGCUAAAAUUGACGGUGGUGGUGAUGGUGUUAAGAUUUUCUCUUAAGAUAUCGUUCGGAAGUUGAAAUUCAAAUAAAGUUAUUUGAUUGGAACUUUCUUCGAUAUUUGAGGUGUAAAUGCAUGUUUGAACUGAUCUGAAUAAGUAAUUUGAUUUAUAGUACCAUUUUGUAUUCGCAGUUUCUUGUUAAGAUGUGAAAUAUAAGAUAAUCAUAAUGGUGAUGAUUGAGAAGGUUUUGCUUAAUGCUAUUAAGAAAUUGAGGUCAAAUGCAUCUAUCAUAUUGGAAUUUUUUCCCCACAUUUAAGGUAUAAACGCAUGUCAAAUUUUCUGAAUUUGACAAUUGAAACUUUGGCAUUAACAUGUUGCAUGGACUAAACUGAGCAUCUAAUAACAGCAUAUGUGCCAGAUUUUGGACUGGUGUUGACUCAAAUAAUUUUAUCUAUGCUUGGAUGACACAACACUAGGUUUGUUUUCUUUAAAAAUGAAUGCUUGAUGUUGUACGGAAUAGAUGGAAAUCUUGCCUUGUAUUAUGAGAUGAUAAAGGUUAAAGAAAUAACCAAUUCUAGAAGGUUGAUGUAGAGAAGAUGCCUUUUAUCAUAAAAAAACUGUUUUUGAAGGUUUGUGAUGAAUAGUUAACAGGACUAGAACCAUGCAAGGAUUAUUCUGGUGCUUGUUGACGAUAAAAGGGAACUGUUACAGGACUAGACAGUCUGGUUGUGGAUAGAAGAGGGCACAACUUUUGAGUAAAAUUUCAGAAAUAUAUUACUUGAUGCAAUUGAGGCCAAAAUAUGUAAUUUUCCCCUGGAGCA
This 894-nucleotide long non-coding RNA is filed under the name Olea europaea subsp. europaea. Lineage: Eukaryota; Viridiplantae; Streptophyta; Magnoliopsida; Lamiales; Oleaceae. The record is from RNAcentral.